UGGCUCAACGGUAGAGCGUUCGACUUAAAUGCCAAAAAUCGCGGGUUUGAAUCCCAU
This 57-nucleotide transfer RNA is filed under the name Schistocephalus solidus. It matches the Rfam family "tRNA", at positions 8 to 63 of the family's 71-position model. Rfam says of the family: Transfer RNA (tRNA) molecules are approximately 80 nucleotides in length. Their secondary structure includes four short double-helical elements and three loops (D, anti-codon, and T loops). Further hydrogen bonds mediate the characteristic L-shaped molecular structure. tRNAs have two regions of fundamental functional importance: the anti-codon, which is responsible for specific mRNA codon recognition, and the 3' end, to which the tRNAs corresponding amino acid is attached (by aminoacyl-tRNA synthetases). tRNAs cope with the degeneracy of the genetic code in two manners: having more than one tRNA (with a specific anti-codon) for a particular amino acid; and 'wobble' base-pairing, i.e. permitting non-standard base-pairing at the 3rd anti-codon position. Lineage: Eukaryota; Metazoa; Platyhelminthes; Cestoda; Diphyllobothriidea; Diphyllobothriidae. The record is from Rfam by way of RNAcentral.